UCCGUAGGCGGUGCGGCAAGUCGGAAGUGAAAUCUCAGGGCUUAACCCUGAGGCUGCUUCCGAAACUGCCGUGCUCGAGUGCGAGAGAGGCGAGUGGAAUUGCAGGUGUAGCGGUGAAAUGCGUAGAUAUCUGCAGGAACAUCCGAGGCGAAAGCGGCUCGCUGGAUCGCAACUGACGCUGAGGGACGAAAGCUAGGGGAGCAAACAGGAUUAGAUACCCUGGUAGUCCUAGCCCUAAACGAUCAGGACUGGGCGUGGGCCUCGUACGGGGCUCGUGCCGCAGCUAACGCGUUAAGUCCUGCGCCUGGGGAGCACGGUCGCAAGGCUGAA
RNAcentral lists this ribosomal RNA (330 nucleotides) under uncultured bacterium. Its description in RNAcentral is "bacterial SSU rRNA". It matches the Rfam family "Bacterial small subunit ribosomal RNA", at positions 568 to 898 of the family's 1533-position model. The record is from RNAcentral.